This is a long non-coding RNA of Cotesia glomerata, 1842 nucleotides long. RefSeq lists it as uncharacterized. The transcript is spliced from 2 exons. The record is from RefSeq and is a predicted model, not a curated record. Lineage: Eukaryota; Metazoa; Arthropoda; Insecta; Hymenoptera; Braconidae.
UCUGAAAAAAAUUAUGGAGUAAAAAAACUUGAUGAGAGCUAUGUUGCCCUAGAGAAUAAGUUCCAAUCACAAUUUGAAAUAGUACCUGAAUCUACCUACAGAAAGAUUAAUCAAGAUCAUUGUUCCAUGAUAGCUAAAGUGAAGAAAUUAUAUAACGCUGAAAGUGACAAAUCAAUAAAAAAGAAGCUGCUUUCAAUUUUACCCGACAGUUGGGAAGUCAGUCGUAUAACAUCUGAAUUUAACUGUUCUUGAAAAAUGGUACUGAACCUUAAAAAUGAUAUCAGUGAAUCUGAGAAUGUUGAUUUAGACUCUGGUGAAAUGACUACUAAUACUUUGAAUCCCACAAAAGUUCCAGGCAAUCAGCCGCUUAAAUUAGAUGUAAAAAAACUUGUCAUUGAUUUUUAUGAAAGCGAAGAAAACUCAAAACAAUUAGCGGUCAUGAAAGAUUUUAAAUCUGUGAAGGAUUGUGAUGGAAAUCGAACUAGGGUACAAAAAAAGUUGAUUCUUUGUAAUUUAAAAGAAUUGUACCAAAGCUUCAAAGCGCAAUAUAAUUCAGUGGAAAUCGGAUUUUCUAAAUUCGCUAGUUUGAGGCCUACUUAUUGUAUUCUUGCUGGAAGUAGUGGUACACAUGUCGUAUGUGUUUGUACUAUUCAUCAAAAUGUAAAAUUGAUGUUAGAAGGUACUUGUGUAUUUGACAUUCUCUAUAAUUGUACUAAAACUAGUUAUUAAUCUUAUUACAUUUAUUCCAUUUAGAAUGUAAUUUUCCAAAAUUUGCGAAAAACACCGAUUGGGUUGUAGAAUCUCAGCCAAUUUACAAAAAUUUAUUAAAUAAAUUAGUUUGUAACAAUCCAAAAGAAUCGUGCUUUUCCAGAAUGUGCAAUAGUUGUCCAAAUAAUGAAGAAGUCGCUGAUUAUUUUCGUGUGUCGUUUAAUGAAUCUGAUGUUAAUGAAAUCCAAUAUAAAACGUGAACAUCAAUAGACCGUUGUACUACUGUGAAUGUUACUUCAGAUUCCGAAGACUUCAUCGAGACUUUAGUGACGCAACUUGAUAAGCUUUUGAAACAUGAUUUUAUUGCGAAAACACAAAGUCGAUUUUUUUCUGAUACAAAACUAAAUUCAAAGAGCGGGGAAUUUGCCGUAGUAUUUGACUUUGCGGAAAAUUAUGCAUUCGUUGUGCAGGAAGCAGCUCAAGGCUUUCAUUGGAAUAAUGAUCAAGCUACUAUAUUUCCAAUGGUGAUUUUUUAUAACGAAAAUGAUACAAUUAAGCAUUUGAGCUUUGUUGGUAUUUCAGAUUGUCUUAAGCACGACACAGUUUUAAUUUAUUUAUUUCAAGAGCAAUUGAUUGCCUUCCUUAAAAAGAAGUUUGCUGUCAUCAAUACGAUUUUUUACUUCUCUGAUGGAGCUCUACAACAAUUCAAAAACAAGAAAGCAUUUACAAACUUAUGUUAUCAUUAUGCUGACUUCGAAAUCAACGCUGAGUGGCAUUUUUUUGCAACUGCCCAUGGCAAAGGACCAUGCGAUGGUCUUGCGGGUUCAUUAAAACGAUAUGCUGCUAGAGCUUCAUUACAAAUGAAUAAUGAAGAGCAUAUACUGAAACCACAAGAUUUGUUUUCCUGGGGAACGAAAAAUUUUACAAGCGUUGACUUUACUUCUAUAGCUAAUGACGAUUUUUUAAUAAAAAAAAAUGUGUUAGACGUACGAUAUUCUCAAUCGAAAACGGUGUAAGGUACACAGUCAUUACACACUUUUGUGCCUUUAAAAGAUGAAAUUGGUUAUGCUUUCAUUAAAACUGUGUCCACAUCUCAAAAAAGUUCAAAAAUAAAAGUAUUUUAAUUAUAAUGAA